Molecule: unclassified non-coding RNA, 330 nt
Filed under: Hevea brasiliensis (rubber tree)
Lineage: Eukaryota; Viridiplantae; Streptophyta; Magnoliopsida; Malpighiales; Euphorbiaceae
Source: RNAcentral
CAAGCUACAGGGAUGACAUUUUGGGCACCAAACAUUAACAUAUUUAGGGACCCGAGAUGGGGGAGAGGGCAAGAGACGCCAGGGGAGGAUCCCCUGGUGACAGGGAAAUAUGCAGUUUCAUAUGUAAGAGGAAUUCAGGGGGAUUCUUUUCAGGGAGGAAAGCUUAAAGGACAUCUUCAAGCUUCAGCUUGUUGCAAGCAUUUUACUGCUUAUGAUUUAGACAAUUGGAAGGGUGUGAACCGCUAUGCGUUUGAUGCUCGUGUUACCAUGCAAGAUUUAGAAGACACCUAUCAGCCACCAUUCCAAAGUUGUGUUCAACAAGGGAAAGCC